GCCCAAGUGGCGAAAUUGGUAGACGCACUGUGUUCAGGUCGCAGCGCCGUGAGGCAUGCUGGUUCGAGUCCAGUCUUGGGCACCA
This 85-nucleotide transfer RNA is filed under the name Sutterella sp. CAG:397. RNAcentral's name for it is "transfer RNA-Leu(CAG)". It matches the Rfam family "tRNA". Rfam says of the family: Transfer RNA (tRNA) molecules are approximately 80 nucleotides in length. Their secondary structure includes four short double-helical elements and three loops (D, anti-codon, and T loops). Further hydrogen bonds mediate the characteristic L-shaped molecular structure. tRNAs have two regions of fundamental functional importance: the anti-codon, which is responsible for specific mRNA codon recognition, and the 3' end, to which the tRNAs corresponding amino acid is attached (by aminoacyl-tRNA synthetases). tRNAs cope with the degeneracy of the genetic code in two manners: having more than one tRNA (with a specific anti-codon) for a particular amino acid; and 'wobble' base-pairing, i.e. permitting non-standard base-pairing at the 3rd anti-codon position. Lineage: Bacteria; Pseudomonadati; Pseudomonadota; Betaproteobacteria; Burkholderiales; Sutterellaceae. The record is from RNAcentral. RNAcentral also lists the same sequence under 3 other names.